UAGAUUUUGAAGAAGACCGAUGACAUAGAAAAGUAUUUUCAUUGCAAUGUCGAAGGCCACUAGAAAAGAAACUGUCUAGCCUACCUGACGACUAUUAAGUGCAAAAAGAAAGAUGCACCAUCUGAAGGUAUGUUUAAUAUGCUCGUUAUUGAAACUAAUUUAACGGUUUCUUCUUCUUCUAAUUGAAUUCUAGAUUCUGUUUCAAGUGCUCAUUUGUGCACUUCUAUUUAGGAUCUUGAAAAAAAUGAGAAGGCUGAGGGAAGGCA
This 266-nucleotide long non-coding RNA is filed under the name Elaeis guineensis (African oil palm). RNAcentral describes it as "long non-coding RNA (EGUI_LNC029806)". Lineage: Eukaryota; Viridiplantae; Streptophyta; Magnoliopsida; Arecales; Arecaceae. The record is from RNAcentral.